AAUUGCCUUACUAAAUUAAAUUUAUGUUCAAGUGCUAUUUCUUUAUGGCACUGGGGAACAAGCAUUUCAAACACAAUGAAUGAGAAAAAAAUAAACUGCCCACUGCCAUCUUCAGGACUUACUCCUUCCAGUUAAAAAUGUUGGUCCAAAGAAAAGAGGAAAAAAAAAAAAAAGAAUAGAUUGUAUUUAUGCUGUGUUGUCGGUCAGACAACACACAUGUGCUAUGUAAUCUACGGUUUCCUAGGACUUGUGUGUUGAGGAAAAGAUGGUGGCAGAAUGAGAAUUACAGACCAAGGAAAAGCAAAAGUGUGAAGGCCUUGAGCGAGGAGGAGCAUGAAACUUCAGAAAUGAAACGCAACAUAUUCACAGUUGAGAAAGGGACUUUUAGGAUACAGACAACUUUGGAGGGCCAUUAUUCUGCCUGCCACAGAGAUAUCAUCCAUAAGUGACUCGUCUCUAAAAAUUAAAGAUAGAAAAUGGAGUUGAUGCAGGAAAAAUAAGAAAUCGAUGUCAUGGAUAAAGACGACUUCUCCUGGUCUCGUUUCUCUAAGCAAAACAACUCAGUAGCUCAAGAGACUAGGUAAGGCCUCCUACCCAGCAUUUUGUGGCAGAUUUUAGAUUGCUUAUUCAGCUCAUCCUUUUUCCUACUUCUAUUUCAUCCGUCUCCCCUCUCUCCUUUCUGCAAGGAAAUAAAAUGUAUUCCAA
Molecule: long non-coding RNA, 705 nt
Filed under: Homo sapiens (human)
Lineage: Eukaryota; Metazoa; Chordata; Mammalia; Primates; Hominidae
Description: HSALNT0034756
Source: RNAcentral